AUGUAUGUUUUGGUCAAGAACCCCGCCGGUAGGACGAUCCGCCUCAAGGUCCGUGAAUCAGAUACAUUGGGUUCUAUCAAGGCAAUGAUACAGGAACGUCACUUCCUCUUCUCCAACGGGGUGCAGCUAGACGACAACCGUACUCUGGCUGAUUACAACAUUCAGCAUGAGUCCAUGCUCGAGCUUCAAGAGAAGAUGCAGAUCUGCGUGACGGAGACGCUGAUGAAUAGGACUUUCCCCCUCGACGUCGACCGCCUGGAUACCAUCGACAACCUGAAGGCCAAGAUUGAGGACCUUGAGGGCUUCCCCAAGGCUCAACAGUGCCUCAUCUUCGACGGCAAGCGACUGGAGGACGGGAACAAAACCUUGGCCGACCACAAUAUUCUCAUGGAAUCAAAGAUUCUCCUCAUCCUUCUCCCGUGUAUUCCUAGAGGAGACAUGAUGCAGAUUAGUAUGAAGACGCUAGAAGGGAAGACCAUCACUCUCGAGGUUGGGAGCUUUGAUACCGUCGACAGUGUCAUGGUGAAGAUGUACGAGAUGAAAUACGCCCCUUACCCAAAGCAGCAGCGCCUCAUCUUUGCAGGCAAACAGCUGGAGAGAGGACGAACCCUAGUGGACUACAACAUUUGUAAAGACUGUAUCCUUCAUUUGGUGCUUUGCCUUUGCGGUUGUUGA
RNAcentral lists this ribosomal RNA (675 nucleotides) under Triticum aestivum (bread wheat). Its description in RNAcentral is "partial small subunit ribosomal RNA". The record is from RNAcentral. Lineage: Eukaryota; Viridiplantae; Streptophyta; Magnoliopsida; Poales; Poaceae.